This 533-nucleotide ribosomal RNA is filed under the name uncultured bacterium. RNAcentral describes it as "bacterial SSU rRNA". It matches the Rfam family "Bacterial small subunit ribosomal RNA", at positions 37 to 587 of the family's 1533-position model. The record is from RNAcentral.
UGGCGGCGUGCCUAACACAUGCAAGUCGCACGUCCUGCCUGGUUUCGGCCAAGCAGGGAGUGGCGGACGGGUGAGUAACACAUGGGUGACCUGUCUCCCAGUGAGGAAUACCGGCGAGAAAUCGCCGACAAGACCGCAUACGCUCUGCCUGCUGCGGCGGGCCGAGCAAAGUCGCAAGACGCUGGGAGAUGGGCCUGUGGCCGAUUAGCUCGUUGGUGGGGUAAGGGCUCACCAAGGCGACGAUCGGUAGCUGGUCUGAGAGGACGAUCAGCCACACUGGGAUUGAGAACGGCCCAGACUCCUACGGGGGGCAGCAGUGAGGAAUUUUCCGCAAUGGACGCAAGUCUGACGGAGCAACGCCGCGUGCAGGAGGACGCUUCUCGGAGUGUAAACUGCUUUUCUGGGGGACGAGUUCGGGCGGUACCCCAGGAAGAAGCCCCGGCUAACUACGUGCCAGCAGCCGCGGUAAUACGUAGGGGGCGAGCGUUGUCCGGAGUUACCGGGCGUAAAGGGCACGCAGGCGGUCCUGCGCG